RNAcentral lists this transfer RNA (107 nucleotides) under Helianthus annuus (common sunflower). RNAcentral's name for it is "hypothetical non coding rna". The stretch from base 33 to 106 matches the Rfam family "tRNA". Rfam says of the family: Transfer RNA (tRNA) molecules are approximately 80 nucleotides in length. Their secondary structure includes four short double-helical elements and three loops (D, anti-codon, and T loops). Further hydrogen bonds mediate the characteristic L-shaped molecular structure. tRNAs have two regions of fundamental functional importance: the anti-codon, which is responsible for specific mRNA codon recognition, and the 3' end, to which the tRNAs corresponding amino acid is attached (by aminoacyl-tRNA synthetases). tRNAs cope with the degeneracy of the genetic code in two manners: having more than one tRNA (with a specific anti-codon) for a particular amino acid; and 'wobble' base-pairing, i.e. permitting non-standard base-pairing at the 3rd anti-codon position. Lineage: Eukaryota; Viridiplantae; Streptophyta; Magnoliopsida; Asterales; Asteraceae. The record is from RNAcentral. RNAcentral also lists the same sequence under 1 other name.
CUUCCGGGAACAGAUCCAGUGGAGACGCAGUGGGGCCUGUAGCUCAGAGGAUUAGAGCACGUGGCUACGAACCACGGUGUCGGGGGUUCGAAUCCCUCCUCGCCCAC